RNAcentral lists this ribosomal RNA (864 nucleotides) under uncultured Planctomycetota bacterium. RNAcentral describes it as "bacterial SSU rRNA". It matches the Rfam family "Bacterial small subunit ribosomal RNA", at positions 8 to 896 of the family's 1533-position model. The record is from RNAcentral. Lineage: Bacteria; Pseudomonadati; Planctomycetota.
AGAGUUUGAUCCUGGCUCAGAAUGAACGUUGGCGGCGUGGAUUAGGCAUGCAAGUCGCACGAGAAACCAAUUAGCUUGCUAAGAGGUGGACAGUGGCGAAAGGGAGAGUAACGCGUGGUUACAUGCCCUCGAGACCGGGAUAGUGUUGGGAAACUGGCAGUAAUACCGGAUAACAUCUUCGGAUCAAAUGGUGUGAUUCCGCUCGAGGAUUGGACCGCGUACUAUUAGUUUGUUGGUGGGGUAAAGGCCUACCAAGGCUAAGAUGGUUAGCGGGUGUGAGAGCAUGGCCCGUCUCACUGGGACUGAGACACUGCCCAGACACCUACGGGUGGCUGCAGUCGAGAAUCUUCCGCAAUGGACGAAAGUCUGACGGAGCGACGCCGCGUGCGGGAUGAAGGCCUUCGGGUUGUAAACCGCUGUCGUAGGGGAGGAAAUUUUGACCGAUCCUAGGAGGAAGCACAGGCUAAGUUCGUGCCAGCAGCCGCGGUAAUACGAACUGUGCGAACGUUAUUCGGAAUCACUGGGCUUAAAGGGUGCGUAGGCGGCUAUGAAGGUCAGGUGUGAAAUCCCACGGCUCAACCGUGGAACUGCGCCUGAAACCACAUAGCUUGAGGAAGUCAGAGGUAAGCGGAACUGAUGGUGGAGCGGUGAAAUGCGUUGAUAUCAUCAGGAACACCGGUGGCGAAAGCGGCUUACUGGGACUUUUCUGACGCUGAGGUACGAAAGCCAGGGGAGCGAACGGGAUUAGAUACCCCGGUAGUCCUGGCUGUAAACGAUCUGUACUAGUCUGUGGGGACUUCCACAUCCUCUCGGACGUAGCGAAAGUGUUAAGUACAGCGCCUGGGGAGUAUGGUCGCAAGGCAA